UACGGUAAUAUCACGUUGAUACACAAGUUUUCGUACGAUCACCGAAGUUAAGCAACGUCGAGUCAGGUCAGUACCUAGAUGGGUGAUCGCUUAGGGAUACCAGGCGCUGUAA
This is a non-coding RNA of Acanthosepion pharaonis, 112 nucleotides long. Lineage: Eukaryota; Metazoa; Mollusca; Cephalopoda; Sepiida; Sepiidae. The record is from the annotation of a GenBank genome assembly.